GGGGCAGCCGGACAGGACGUCCGCCUGAGCUUCGUCGCGACAGGAUGUCGCGUCGAAGCGACCCC
Regulatory RNA element from Hydrocarboniphaga effusa AP103, 65 nucleotides. The record is from Rfam. NCBI's taxonomy places the organism in Bacteria, Pseudomonadati, Pseudomonadota, Gammaproteobacteria, Nevskiales, Nevskiaceae.